RNAcentral lists this ribosomal RNA (440 nucleotides) under uncultured bacterium. RNAcentral describes it as "partial 16S ribosomal RNA". It matches the Rfam family "Bacterial small subunit ribosomal RNA", at positions 338 to 795 of the family's 1533-position model. The record is from RNAcentral.
CCUACGGGAGGCAGCAGUGGGGAAUAUUGCACAAUGGGGGAAACCCUGAUGCAGCGACGCCGCGUGAGCGAUGAAGUAUUUCGGUAUGUAAAGCUCUAUCAGCAGGGAAGAAAAUGACGGUACCUGACUAAGAAGCCCCGGCUAACUACGUGCCAGCAGCCGCGGUAAUACGUAGGGGGCAAGCGUUAUCCGGAUUUACUGGGUCGAAGGGGAGCGUAGACGGCUGUGCAAGCCAGAUGUGAAAGCCCGGGGCCUAACCCCGGGACUGCAUUUGGAACUGUGUGGCUGGAGUGUCGGAGAGGCAGGCGGAAUUCCUAGGGUAGCGGUGAAAUGCGUAGAUAUUAGGAGGAACACCAGUGGCGAAGGCGGCCUGCUGGACGAUGACUGACGUUGAGGCUCGAAAGCGUGGGGAGCAAACAGGAUUAGAUACCCGAGUAGUC